This 405-nucleotide ribosomal RNA is filed under the name uncultured bacterium. Its description in RNAcentral is "bacterial SSU rRNA". It matches the Rfam family "Bacterial small subunit ribosomal RNA", at positions 37 to 433 of the family's 1533-position model. The record is from RNAcentral.
UGGCGGCGUGNCUAACACAUGCAAGUCGAGCGAGGUCCAUCCAGUGGCAACACUGGGGACGACCUAGCGGCGAACGGGUGAGUAACACGUGAGGAACCUGCCCCGAAGACCGGGAUAACCCGAGGAAACUCGAGCUAAUACCGGAUACCCCCACGAGAUCGCAUGAUCUUGUGAGGAAAUGUCUUUUCGCUUCGGGAGGGCCUCGCGGCCUAUCAGCUUGUUGGCGGGGUAACGGCCCACCAAGGCAUCGACGGGUAGCUGGUCUGAGAGGACGAUCAGCCACACUGGGACUGAGACACGGCCCAGACUCCUACGGGAGGCAGCAGUGGGGAAUCUUGCGCAAUGGGCGAAAGCCUGACGCAGCAACGCCGCGUGGGGGACGAAGGCUCUCGGGUUGUAAACCCC